UACGUAGGGGGCAAGCGUUGUCCGGAUUUACUGGGCGUAAAGAGCGUGUAGGCGGCCAAACAGGUCCGUUGUGAAAACUGGAGGCUCAACCUCCAGACGUCGACGGAAACCGUGUGGCUAGAGUCCGGAAGAGGAGAGUGGAAUUCCUGGUGUAGCGGUGAAAUGCGCAGAUAUCAGGAAGAACACCAAUGGCGAAAGCAGCUCUCUGGGACGGUACUGACGCUGAGACGCGAAAGCGUGGGGAGCGAACAGG
RNAcentral lists this ribosomal RNA (253 nucleotides) under uncultured bacterium. Its description in RNAcentral is "partial 16S ribosomal RNA". It matches the Rfam family "Bacterial small subunit ribosomal RNA", at positions 524 to 776 of the family's 1533-position model. The record is from RNAcentral.